AUGCACGCUGGCGGCGUGCCUAAUACAUGCACGUCGAGCGAACAGAUAAGGAGCUUGCUCCUUUGACGUUAGCGGCGGACGGGUGAGUAACACGUGGGUAACCUACCUAUAAGACUGGAAUAACUCCGGGAAACCGGGGCUAAUGCCGGAUAACAUUUAGAACCGCAUGGUUCUAAAGUGAAAGAUGGUUUUGCUAUCACUUAUAGAUGGACCCGCGCCGUAUUAGCUAGUUGGUAAGGUAACGGCUUACCAAGGCAACGAUACGUAGCCGACCUGAGAGGGUGAUCGGCCACACUGGAACUGAGACACGGUCCAGACUCCUACGGGAGGCAGCAGUAGGGAAUCUUCCGCAAUGGGCGAAAGCCUGACGGAGCAACGCCGCGUGAGUGAUGAAGGUCUUCGGAUCGUAAAACUCUGUUAUUAGGGAAGAACAAAUGUGUAAGUAACUGUGCACGUCUUGACGGUACCUAAUCAGAAAGCCACGGCUAACUACGUG
RNAcentral lists this ribosomal RNA (496 nucleotides) under uncultured bacterium. RNAcentral describes it as "partial 16S ribosomal RNA". It matches the Rfam family "Bacterial small subunit ribosomal RNA", at positions 29 to 507 of the family's 1533-position model. The record is from RNAcentral.